RNAcentral lists this ribosomal RNA (801 nucleotides) under uncultured bacterium. RNAcentral's name for it is "bacterial SSU rRNA". It matches the Rfam family "Bacterial small subunit ribosomal RNA", at positions 87 to 885 of the family's 1533-position model. The record is from RNAcentral.
UUAACCUAGCGGCGGACGGGUGAGUAAUGCUUAGGAAUCUGCCUAUUAGUGGGGGACAACAUCUCGAAAGGGAUGCUAAUACCGCAUACGUCCUACGGGAGAAAGCAGGGGACCUUCGGGCCUUGCGCUAAUAGAUGAGCCUAGUCGGAUUAGCUAGUUGGUGGGGUAAAGGCCUACCAAGGCGACGAUCUGUAGCGGGUCUGAGAGGAUGAUCCGCCACACUGGGACUGAGACACGGCCCAGACUCCUACGGGAGGCAGCAGUGGGGAAUAUUGGACAAUGGGGGGAACCCUGAUCCAGCCAUGCCGCGUGUGUGAAGAAGGCCUUUUGGUUGUAAAGCACUUUAAGCGAGGAGGAGGCUACCGAGAUUAAUACUCUUGGAUAGUGGACGUUACUCGCAGAAUAAGCACCGGCUAACUCUGUGCCAGCAGCCGCGGUAAUACAGAGGGUGCAAGCGUUAAUCGGAUUUACUGGGCGUAAAGCGCGCGUAGGUGGCCAAUUAAGUCAAAUGUGAAAUCCCCGAGCUUAACUUGGGAAUUGCAUUCGAUACUGGUUGGCUAGAGUAUGGGAGAGGAUGGUAGAAUUCCAGGUGUAGCGGUGAAAUGCGUAGAGAUCUGGAGGAAUACCGAUGGCGAAGGCAGCCAUCUGGCCUAAUACUGACACUGAGGUGCGAAAGCAUGGGGAGCAAACAGGAUUAGAUACCCUGGUAGUCCAUGCCGUAAACGAUGUCUACUAGCCGUUGGGGCCUUUGAGCUUUAGUGGCGCAGCUAACGCGAUAAGUAGACCGCCUGGGGAGUACGG